RNAcentral lists this long non-coding RNA (588 nucleotides) under Callithrix jacchus (white-tufted-ear marmoset). RNAcentral's name for it is "lncRNA (ENSCJAG00000081852.1)". The record is from RNAcentral. Lineage: Eukaryota; Metazoa; Chordata; Mammalia; Primates; Cebidae.
GGCUGUGGGGGGCAUUUUGGAAUUCAUGGGCUUUCCUUACCAUGUAAAUCUUCUUUAUAUUUUUCAGUUACCUCCCCUGUGUUCCAGGCUGAAUUGUAUCACCCCGAAAUUCAUGUGCUGAAGGACAUCGAAGGUGGACAUACUGGAGAUAACAGCCUUUGAGGGGUAAUUAAGAUAAGAUGGCCUCUUUAGGGUGGGGCCCUAGUCCAGUCUGACAGGUGUCCUUAUGAGAAGAGGAGCUGAGGACCCCGCCACACAGAGGACACAGAAGGAAGACAGCCAUCCCCACGCAAGGACAGAGGCCUCGGGAGAAACACCAGCACCUGGGCCUUCCAGGCUUCAGAACAGUGAGGAGAGAAACCCGUGUGGUCCAAGCUGUGUGGUCCAAGAGCUGCAAGGCGAACAAGGAAGAAUGAAAGACGGAGCUAAAAAGAUCGACAUGCGGAGAGCAGUAGCUGGUUGGAGCACCCACCGUGUACCAGACCUUAGAGGUGACGGGAACAGUGCUGACUUCAGGAACCUCGUGGGGAACAAAUGUCAGGAGCACGGUAACAGCGACAGCGCAGUGUGACAAGGCCCUCACAGGUG